GAUGAACGCUAGCGGCAGGCUUAACACAUGCAAGUCGAGGGGCAGCACGGGUAGCAAUACCUGGUGGCGACCGGCGCAAGGGUGCGUAACGCGUGAGCAACAUGCCCUAUACAGGGGGAUAAUCCAGGGAAACUUGGUCUAAUAUCCCAUAGCAUUUAGAGGAGGCAUCUUCACUAAAUUAAAGCUUCGGUGGUAUAGGAUUGGCUCGCGUGACAUUAGCUAGAUGGUGAGGUAACGGCCCACCAUGGCUAUGAUGUCUAGGGGUUCUGAGAGGAAGACCCCCCAACUGGGACUGAGACACGGCCCAGACUCCUACGGGAGGCAGCAGUGAGGAAUAUUGGACAAUGGGAUGGAAAUCUGAUCCAGCCAUGCCGCGUGCAGGAAGACGGCCCUAUGGGUUGUAAACUGCUUUUAUAUGGGAGCAAUAGGUUUACGAGUAGACCGAUGAGAGUACCAUAUAGAAUAAGC
This 468-nucleotide ribosomal RNA is filed under the name uncultured bacterium. RNAcentral's name for it is "bacterial SSU rRNA". It matches the Rfam family "Bacterial small subunit ribosomal RNA", at positions 28 to 491 of the family's 1533-position model. The record is from RNAcentral.